Pan troglodytes (chimpanzee) is the source of this 3355-nucleotide long non-coding RNA. RefSeq lists it as uncharacterized. The record is from RefSeq and is a predicted model, not a curated record. The transcript has 3 exons. NCBI's taxonomy places the organism in Eukaryota, Metazoa, Chordata, Mammalia, Primates, Hominidae.
UUGGACUCAGCCCGCCUGCACCCAGGUGAAAUGAACAGCCAUGUUGCUCACACAAAGCCUGUUUGGUGGUCUCUUUACACGGACGUGCAUGAAAUUUGGUGCUGUGACUCAGAUCGGGGGACCUCCCUUGGGAGAUCAAUCCCCUGUCCUCCUGUUCUUUGCUCCGUGAGAACGAUCCACCUACGACCUCAGGUCCUCAGACCCACCAGCCCAAGGAACAUCUCACCAAUUUUAAAUCAGUUUGUUCCAGAGACUCAAAUUACCAAAACUUCAGAAAGUGGAAGAAGAGUUUCCCUCCCCUCUGCAGUUUCGGUGAGAAGCCAGGAGAACAAAUCUCUCUGCUCACUCUGAAGGCUGUGAGACCCUGAGACCUGGGGAAGCUGGCAAAAGACAAGGUCUUGCUCUGUCAUCCAGGCUGGAGUCCAGUGUUGUGAACAUGUCUCACUGCAGCCUCGACCUCUUGGGCUCAAGCAAUCCUCCCACCUUAGCUUCCAGAGUAGCUGAGACUACAGGCACAUAUCACUAUGCCUGGCUAACUUUUGUUGUUUUUUGUAGAGAUGAUGUUUUGCCACAUUGCCCAUGCUGAUCUCAAACUCCUAAGCUCAAGCCCACCUCCCAUGCCCAGCUGGAUUCACAUAUCCAUAACCAAAUGUAGUUAGACUUCUGAACCUUCUCUAGGUCCAUCUGUGUAUUUCUUUGUAAAAUUCUGUAAUGAAAUUCUAUACUUUUAUGUUACCUGGGCAUCCAUUUUAAAUCCUCCUCUAUGUCUGACCUUACUGACACACCCUAAACUCCUUCUUGGAAAAACUUGCAUUAUUUUCUCUUUGCCUUUGAUAUGUUGAUUUCCUAUCGCAUCUUCUCUAGAACUUAGUAGCUAUCUUUUGGAAAUAAAUUUCAGGGUAAUGACUCACCAGAAAAUUAAAUCAUUUAAAAAUUGACCAAAUAAAAAAUACUGAAGGCUUUUUUACUAUUAGUAAAGGGCUUUAGCCAUGUGAGCAGGUUCACUUAACUUGCAAAAGCACAAUUUGGAUGCAACUGUUCUUUAUAAACUAUUGAGUUUUAUGUUAUUUUACCUGUCUCAUAGCUAAAAUUUGUUAUGAAACCUAUAAGACCUUUGUUUAUGUCUGUCUGUAUUUUUAUGUACACAUGUGUACAUAUUUGUUGUGUCAACAUUGAACCCAUCUUUACAGAAUUAUGAUGGCAAGAGAAAUAUGACAUAGUUAACUCUAUCUUGCUUCUAACCUCUAAGCUGUCCUUGCCAUGCCUGGGGAUAGGCCAAGCCAACUUUGGAAGAAAUUUAGUUUAUAGUUUCACUUUAAAGCAAGGCCGAUAAUAGCUACUCCCAAAACUAAAAGGUCUUUGUAAAAGUAAUGAAAGUCCACAAGGUUAAGAUUAUGAGAGGGGCCUUUAUUUUGUUAAGAUGCAGACAUAGGUAAAUAAUAAGCAGACAUCCUUCCAGAAGAGAAAGUCAAGCUUGCUGCAGAAUUUUGCAUAAGUAAUGAGGAGCUAAAUGUUAAUCAACAAGGCAAUGGUGAAAAUGUCUCCAGGGCAUCUUAGAGACCUUUGCAACAACCCCUCCCAUCACAGGCCCAGAGGUUUAGGAAGAAAAAAUGGUUUUGUGGGCCAGGCCCACGGUUCCUCUGCUGUGUGCAGUCUAGGCACUUGGUGCCCUGCAUUCCAGCUGUUCCAGCCAUGACUAAAAGUGGCCAAGGUACAGCUUGGGCUGUUGCUUCAGAAGGUAGAAGUCCCAAGCAUUGGCAUCUUUCAUGCAGUGUUGAGCCUGUGGGUGUACAAAAGUCAGGAACUGAGAUUUGGGGACCUCUGCCUAGGUUUCAGAGGAUGUAUGGAAAUUCCUGGAUGCCCAGGCAGAAGUUUGCUUCAGGGGGGUCCCUCAUGGAUAACCUCUGCUAGGGCAAUGCAGAAGGGAAAUGUGGGGUCAGAGUUCCUACACAGAGUCCCUCCUGGGGCAUCACCUAGUGGAGCUAUGAGAAGAGGGCCACUCUCCUCCAGACCCCAGAAUGGUUGAUACACUGACAGCUUGCACUGUGUGUCUGGAAAAGCCGCAGACACUCAAUGCCAGCCCAUAAAAGCAGUCAGGAGGGAGGUUAUACCCUACAAAGCCACAGGGGCAGAGCUGCCCAAGGCAGUGGGAGCCCAUCUCUCACACUAGUGUGAUCUGGAUGUCAGACAUGGAGUUAAAGGAGAUAAUUUUAGAGCUUUAGGAUUUGACUGUCUCACUGGAUUUUGGACUUGCAUGAUGCACGUAGCCCCUCUGUUUUGGCCAAUUUCUCCUAUUCAGAAUGUCUGUAUUUAUCAAAUGCCUACACCCCCAUUGUAUCCAGGAAGUAACUAACUUGCUUUUGAUUUUACAGGCUCAUAGGUGGAAGAGACUUGUCUUGUCUUAGCUGAGACUUUAGACUGUGGACUUUUGAGUUAAUGCUGAAAUGAGUUAAGACUUUGGGGGACUGUUGGGAAGGCAGUCUUGGUUUUGAAAUGUGAGGACAUGAGAUUUGGGAGGGGUGAGGGGAGGAAUGAUAUGGUUUGGCUCUAUGUCCCCAUCUAAAACUCUUCUUAUAGCUUCCAUAAUUCCACAUGUUGUGGGAGGGACCUGGUGGGAGAUAGUUGAAUCAUCGAGGUGGGACUUUCCCAUGCUUUUCUGCUGUUCUUGUGCUAGUGAAUGAAUCUCACAAAACUGAUGUUUUUAAAAAUACGAGUUUCCUUGCACAAGCUCUCUCUCUCUCUCUUUGCCCACUGCCAUUCAUGUAAGACAUGACUUUUCCUUUUGCCUUCCACCACGAUUGUGAAGCUUCCCCAGUCAUGUGGAACUGUAAGCCCAUUAAAGCUCUUUGUUUUGUAAAUUGCCUAGUCUUUGGUAUGUCUUUAUCAGCAGCAUGAAAAUGAACUACUACAGUACACAAGGACCAUUUUUCAUAUUUCAAUGAUGAUGGCAUUCUCAACCAAUCAGCAUCACUAAUUCCCUAGACCCCCUUCCACCAAACUGUCCUUGAAAAUCUCUAACCUCCACAGGGAGAUUGAUUUGAGUCAUAACUUCAUCUACAUGGCUUGGCUAGCUUCACAUCAAUUAAACUCUUUCUUUACUGCAGUGCCAUGGACUGAUUGAUUUUGUUUUGCCUGUCCAUCAGGCAGGACAAACAAUUAAGUAAUUACAACAUGGUUUGGAAUCUCUUCACAAAAUCCUAUUAAUGGAGGGUGGGAAGAGGGGGAGGAGCAAAAAAAAAAAAAAAAAACUGUUGGAUACUAGGCUUAGUACUUGUGUGAUGAAAUAAUCUGUACAACAAACCCCUGUGACAAAAAUUUACCCAUAUAACAAAGCUGCGCAUGUUCCCCUGAAUCU